This 97-nucleotide ribosomal RNA is filed under the name Salmonella enterica. RNAcentral also lists the same sequence under 3 other names. The record is from RNAcentral. Lineage: Bacteria; Pseudomonadati; Pseudomonadota; Gammaproteobacteria; Enterobacterales; Enterobacteriaceae.
CCUGGCGGCACUAGCGCGGUGGUCCCACCUGACCCCAUGCCGAACUCAGAAGUGAAACGCCGUAGCGCCGAUGGUAGUGUGGGGUCUCCCCAUGCGA